GUUGAACCAGACCGACUUUAUUGGCCGCGAAUUCACUAUUCUUGUUUCUUGCUUGCUCAUCUUCUCGAUGCUUUAAGAAUACCCUACAUGGUUCAGCGCUAGCCUACUUGUUUCGUGCUUCUCUCGAUUGUUUUUCACUGUCAACUCCAUUCUGAAGCAUGUUUGCGGAUGUGAUGGGAAUCUCAAACGGCGGAGACGGGAAAGAUCCUGUCAUUCGCAUAGGCAGAAACUCAGGGAGAGCAUGACAAACGCUAUGCCAUUAUUACUAUGUAUGCAUAUUGGUCAAUAUAUACAUCCGAUCUUAAAUCAAGCGGAUGGUGUUUAAAAGCACAACACUGUAAAAAAAAAAAAAAAAGAAAAAGAAAAGAAAAAUCGUGAAAGACAAGCAAAAUACGUUUAAGUGGAGAGAAAACCAAGCCGGAGCGUGAAAACCAGAUGGGAGUAACAGCAGGUCAACAGGAGACAAUAAGGGCC
RNAcentral lists this small RNA (474 nucleotides) under Histoplasma ohiense. RNAcentral describes it as "hypothetical lncRNA". The record is from RNAcentral. Lineage: Eukaryota; Fungi; Ascomycota; Eurotiomycetes; Onygenales; Ajellomycetaceae.